Molecule: ribosomal RNA, 253 nt
Filed under: uncultured bacterium
Lineage: Bacteria
Description: partial 16S ribosomal RNA
Rfam family: Bacterial small subunit ribosomal RNA
Source: RNAcentral
UACGUAGGGUGCAAGCGUUGUCCGGAAUUAUUGGGCGUAAAGAGCUCGUAGGCGGCUUGUCGCGUCUGCUGUGAAAACCAGAGGCUCAACCUCUGGCCUGCAGUGGGUACGGGCAGACUAGAGUGCGGUAGGGGAGAUUGGAAUUCCUGGUGUAGCGGUGGAAUGCGCAGAUAUCAGGAGGAACACCGAUGGCGAAGGCAGAUCUCUGGGCCGUAACUGACGCUGAGGAGCGAAAGCAUGGGGAGCGAACAGG